Molecule: transfer RNA, 73 nt
Filed under: Phalloptychus januarius
Lineage: Eukaryota; Metazoa; Chordata; Actinopteri; Cyprinodontiformes; Poeciliidae
Description: tRNA-Thr
Rfam family: tRNA
About the family: Transfer RNA (tRNA) molecules are approximately 80 nucleotides in length.
Source: RNAcentral
GCAUUAGUAGCUCAGCCUCCAGAGCGUCGGUCUUGUAAACCGAAAGUCGAGGGUUAAAUUCCCCCCUUUUGCU